GACGAACGCUGGCGGCGUGCCUAAUACAUGCAAGUAGAACGCAGUUGCGAACGGGUGAGUAACGCGUAGGUAACUGCCUGGUAGCGGGGGCUAACUAUUGGAAACGAUAGCUAAUACCGCAUACUACCAGAUGGACCUGCGUUGUAUUAGCUAGUUGGUGGGGUAACGGCUCACCACGGCAACGAUACAUAGCCGAGCUGAGAGGGUGAACGGGCAAACUGGGACUGGGAGCCGGCCCAGACGCCUAAGGGAGGCAGGAGGAGGGAAUCUUCGGCAAUGGGGGGAACCCUGACCGAGCAACGCCGCGUGAGUGAAGAAGGGUUUCGGAUCGUAAAGCUCUGUUGUUAAGGAAGCGGUACUUAACCAGAAAGGGACGGCUAACUACGUGCCAGCAGCCGCGGUAAUUC
Molecule: ribosomal RNA, 407 nt
Filed under: uncultured bacterium
Lineage: Bacteria
Description: partial 16S ribosomal RNA
Rfam family: Bacterial small subunit ribosomal RNA
Source: RNAcentral